AUGCAUGCGACAGGUGCAGAGGCACGCAGCAGGUGCCACGCAGGAUGCAAUGCAGGCUCGAUGCAGGAUGCACACAGCAGGUGCAGUGCCGGGCGCGCACAGCCUGGGACAGCCCCGCGCCCGCCGGCGGCCCCUUUAAGGCUGCGGGGCGGGGCGGCGCGGCGGGGCCGGGUGUGGGGUUGCGGCUCCCGGUGCUGGCGGCGGCGGCGGGGGGGCUCCGGCCGUGCCCGGCCCAUGGCCCGGCCCCCGGCGCCUCCCGGGGCCCCGCGCUGCUUCGGGGCGCUGAGCACGGGGCAGCUGCGGGCGCUGCUGCAGGACGAGCCCCGGCUGCAGCGCGCCGUCCGCCUCAGCAGGAAGGUAGGGCCGGGCCUGGAUGCGAUGCGAUUCGAUGCGAUGCGAUGGGCGCUCCGUGCCGCUCCGUGCCGCUCACCGCCCUGCGCCUCAGUUCCAGGAGCUGCAGCGGGAGCGGGAGGAGCGGCUGGCGGCCAACAGCGCUCUGGCCCGGGACAACCUGGCGCUGCGGCCGCGGCUGGAGGACGGGAAGGCGGCGCUGGCCAUCAAAUACCAGGAGCUGCGCGAGGUGCGCGAGGCGUGCCGGGCCAAGCUGCGGCGCCUGGAGGUGUACCUGGAGGAGUGCGGCCCGCAGCGCGCCCUGGGCCGGCUCCGAGCCGCGCUGGACGCGUCCGAGGAGGAGGCGGAGGCGCAGAUGCAGCGGUUCCUGGCGCACGAGGUGCCCCUCGAUGCCUUCCUGGAGUCCUUCUGCCGGAGCCGCGCGCGCUCCCACGUCUCUCGGACGCAGCUGGAGAAGCUGCAGGAGCUGCUGCAGAGGGGCCGGGACCCUGCGGGGGAGCCCCCGGGGCUCAGCCCGGCGCCGGGCCGCGGCACGGCCUCCCCCAGAGCCCUACAGCUGCGCUACGGCUUCGUGCCCGCCGUCCUCGUCCCCGCGGCGGCCGUGGUGCCCUUCGCCGUGCCGCCCAAGCAUCGUCUCCCGGCCCUGAGACAGCCGCCGGCCGCCCCGCACCUCGCCCCGCACGCGGCCCCGCUCAGUCCCCGGCCCUUCCGCCGUCGGGAGCCGGAGCCGCUGCAGCCGUAGAGGUGUGGGGCCGGGGAACGGCGGGCGCGAACUCCGGGAGCUGCUGCGUGCGGGGAAGAAGCUGCUGCAUCCGCUGCAGAAGUGGGGAGAGGGUGUGGGUCGGUGGGGUGGUGGUAGAGGGGAAAAGGGUCCAGGAGCACGAGCUGCUGUACGCUCCCCAAAUAAAUGCUCUGUUCUGCACCGCGUGGGCCUGGCUGUGA
This 1293-nucleotide long non-coding RNA is filed under the name Numida meleagris (helmeted guineafowl). Its description in RNAcentral is "lncRNA (ENSNMEG00000012520.1)". The record is from RNAcentral. Lineage: Eukaryota; Metazoa; Chordata; Aves; Galliformes; Numididae.